RNAcentral lists this unclassified non-coding RNA (206 nucleotides) under plant metagenome. RNAcentral's name for it is "partial contains small subunit ribosomal RNA, internal transcribed spacer 1, and 5.8S ribosomal RNA". The record is from RNAcentral.
UUUCCGUAGGUGAACCUGCGGAAGGAUCAUUCAUAAUAAGUGUUUUAUGGCACUUUUUAAAUCCAUAUCCACUUUGUGUGCAAUGUCUGUCGUUCUCUUCUAUGGGAACGACCAAACAUCAACCAACUCUUUAACUCUUUGUCUGAAAAAUAUUACGAACAAAAUAAUUCAAAAUACAACUUUCAACAACGGAUCUCUUGGCUCUC